GACGAACGCUGGCGGCGUGGAUUAGGCAUGCAAGUCGAACGGUAUCAUCCUUUCGGGGGUGAGAGAGUGGCGAACUGGUGAGUAACACGUAGGUUAUCUACCCUCAAGACGGGGACAACCCAGGGAAACUUGGGCUAAUACCGGAUGUGAGCAACUUUUAGUUGUUUGAAAGGUGGCGUAAGCUGUCGCUUGGGGAUGAGCCUGCGUCCUAUUAGUUAGUUGGUGAGGUAACGGCUCACCUAGGCAAUGAUAGGUAGGCGGCCUUAACGGGUGGUCGCCCACACUGGGAUUGAGAUACGGCCCAGACUCCUACGGGAGCAGCAGUCGAGAAUAGUCUACAAUGGUCGGAAGACUGAUAGUGCGACGCCGCGUGAACGAUGAAUCCCUUCGGGGUGUAAAGUUCUUUUAUAUGUGAGCAGUGCUUCUUAUAUUAACAGUAUGGGGAGAGAGAUAUUAGCAUAUGAAUAAGCAACGGCUAACUCCGUGCCAGCAGCCGCGGUAAUA
This 504-nucleotide ribosomal RNA is filed under the name uncultured bacterium. Its description in RNAcentral is "bacterial SSU rRNA". It matches the Rfam family "Bacterial small subunit ribosomal RNA", at positions 28 to 525 of the family's 1533-position model. The record is from RNAcentral.